UACGGAGGGUGCAAGCGUUGCUCGGAAUCACUGGGCGUAAAGCGCCCGCAGGCGGCCUGACAAGUCGGAUGUGAAAGCCCUGGGCUCAACUCAGGAAUUGCAUUCGAAACUGGCAGGCUCGAGUACGGGAGAGGGGGGUGGAAUUCCUGGUGUAGGGGUGAAAUUCGUUGAUAUCAGGAGGAACACCGGCGGCGAAGGCGGCCCCCUGGCCCGCAACUGACGCUCAUGGUCGAAAGCGUGGGGAGCAAACGGG
This 253-nucleotide ribosomal RNA is filed under the name uncultured bacterium. RNAcentral describes it as "partial 16S ribosomal RNA". It matches the Rfam family "Bacterial small subunit ribosomal RNA", at positions 524 to 776 of the family's 1533-position model. The record is from RNAcentral.